Chelonus insularis is the source of this 969-nucleotide long non-coding RNA. RefSeq lists it as uncharacterized. NCBI's taxonomy places the organism in Eukaryota, Metazoa, Arthropoda, Insecta, Hymenoptera, Braconidae. The transcript is spliced from 4 exons. The record is from RefSeq and is a predicted model, not a curated record.
UAUAUAAAAUUUAAUAAAAAGUUGUAUUUAAAUAUAUUGUUAAAAAAAAACUCCACGAAUAUCAAUAGAAGAUGGUCGAUUUAAAGAGCACGAUACGCGCUAGAACACUGAUUAAAUAUGACUGACUUAUAUAUCCGACGUAGAGUGCAAAUUAUUGCGGUGUACGACGCGAAAAGGAAGUUAAUAGUGAGAAUAGUUGAACUGUUGCUUCAGUAGUUUCAGUUAAAUCGAAGAGAACAGUAGGCGACACAAUGUCGUCGUUUCAGUGAAUAAAGAAAGGGUGCUUCCAUAUUCUUUUAAAGCGCUUGCGUUGAUUAAGCCAAUCGACAUUGCCAUGUAAACAUCAACAUAAUGUCUGCUAGAGGAUCAGUUAAUGGUCGUUCUCCAAGAAGCCUUUGUCUAUCCAAAUCACCUUGCAUUUGAGUGAAUGCAUGCUCGCCAAGACUUGAAGUAUCAAGCUGAUUUGACAAUUCAAUAGCUUCAUCACCUACAAGGAUUGCAUUCAAUUGAAGUCAGAAUAAGAUUUGAUGAAUAUAGUGAGUGGUCCUCCAAUAUCACUUGGCAGUUGCCAGCAAGCAUUUUCUUGUUCUUCAAUAUUCCUUGGAAAGUAAAGUGGCAGCAAAACUUGAUAAAUUCCCAAAUCACAGGGCUCAAGAACAAGAACAAUACACACGAUUGAAUCAUUGUAUUGUUCUAAAAAUCUACGUAUUGUACGAAGAGCAACAUGAGCUCCUGCAUCCGGUGGAUAAUUACGACGAACAGAAUUGAUCACAGGUAGUGCAAUGACAGAAAAAUGAAAUACCUUUAAUAUCAUUAUCAAUUUCGAUGUUAAGUGCUGGACCUGCUCGUGAAAAUAUUUUUUGGCACGUAAAGCUAUUGUCAUCCAUAGUUUCGUUGGUAGGGUUUACUACUGCAUCUACUUGUAGCACCGAUAUAUCUCCAGUCCUUUAAAAUAAAUCAUGAACUUUC